AUUGAACGCUGGCGGCAGGCCUAACACAUGCAAGUCGAGCGGAUGAAGGGAGCUUGCUCCUGGAUUCAGCGGCGGACGGGUGAGUAAUGCCUAGGAAUCUGCCUGGUAGUGGGGGAUAACGUCCGGAAACGGGCACUAAUACCGCAUACGUCCUGAGGGAGAAAGUGGGGGAUCUUCGGACCUCACGCUAUCAGAUGAGCCUAGGUCGGAUUAGCUAGUUGGUGGGGUAAAGGCCUACCAAGGCGACGAUCCGUAACUGGUCUGAGAGGAUGAUCAGUCACACUGGAACUGAGACACGGUCCAGACUCCUACGGGAGGCAGCAGUGGGGAAUAUUGGACAAUGGGCGAAAGCCUGAUCCAGCAAUGCCGCGUGUGUGAAGAAGGUCUUCGGAUUGUAAAGCACUUUAGCUUGGGAGGAAGGGCAGUAGGUUAAUACCUUGCUGUAUUGACGUUACCAACAGAAUAAGCACCGGCUAACUUCAUG
RNAcentral lists this ribosomal RNA (484 nucleotides) under uncultured bacterium. RNAcentral's name for it is "partial 16S ribosomal RNA". It matches the Rfam family "Bacterial small subunit ribosomal RNA", at positions 30 to 507 of the family's 1533-position model. The record is from RNAcentral.